UGAAUUUUGUCAUUCAGACAAUGGAAAGCCUUUUGUGUAUAUAUACUGUUUUGAGAUUAUUAUAAACAGACACAAAAAAUAAAAAGCAUGUGUAAAGUAGAAAUUAACAGUGCCACAUUAAUAACACAUUUAAAGUUUAAUAAAUUAAAGUGACACAAUUAAAGUGUUCCAAUUUAGAGAAAGGAACCAAAUCAUGCAUAAUGGACAUCAUUUUGGGAAAUAUUGCUAUUAUCUAAAUAAGAAAUAGUGAAUGCUUGAUGGGGCAGAGAAAACUUCAUGAUUUUAGGAACAUUAAAGAGGUACUUUUGGUAAUAUUUGAUGGAUAUUUGAACAAGCAAAUUAAGUAAAUGGCAAAAUACAAACAAGACUAACAAAACCUGAAAUCCAAAGGCAAAAACUGAUGCUUCUGGACUAACAGUGGGAUUAUGUCCUGAAAGCUAAUAUAUCCCACUUAGGAACAUGUUACACUGUAGAAUAUCUUUUGUUUCCCCCCAGGAACACUUGGAUGACUAGGAAUUGGUGGUUUCUGCUUCUGCCCAGCAUUGAUAGAGUUUAUCAUAUUGCAUAGUUCCAAGCUGGGAAAAGACUAUCUUAAAAUUUGAAGGAUGAUUUUGACGGAAUAUGUAGACUUUUUGCAUCAUCUUUCAGUAAAAAAUAAAUAAAUAAAUCCAAAGAUGAAUCAUCGUUAAUUAAAGAAUCAUCUCUAGAGUAUUUUGCAUUGAUUCAGAACAGAAUUCUUGUAGUUAAAUUAUGAAAAUGAAGGAUCAAGACCAACCACACAUUUAUGUAAUCCUACUAAGUGUUUCUUUGAAAGAAUCAGAUUCAUUUAGAGUGACCAGUCAUGUAAUAAGGAAACUGUUUCAGCAAUGAUCCUCCGAGAAACCCUAACAAAUCCUUAGAUGGAGAUACCACCUUCUCUUUUCAGGAAUUUUAAGGACAAC
RNAcentral lists this long non-coding RNA (941 nucleotides) under Marmota monax (woodchuck). The record is from RNAcentral. Lineage: Eukaryota; Metazoa; Chordata; Mammalia; Rodentia; Sciuridae.